AGACAGAGGGUGCAAGCGUUAAUCGGAAUUACUGGGCGUAAAGCGCGCGUAGGUGGUUCAGUAAGUUGGAAGUGAAAUCCCCGGGCUCAACCUGGGAACUGCUUUCAAAACUGCUGAGCUAGAGUACGGUAGAGGGUGGUGGAAUUUCCUGUGUAGCGGUGAAAUGCGUAGAUAUAGGAAGGAACACCAGUGGCGAAGGCGACCACCUGGACUGAUACUGACACUGAGGUGCGAAAGCGUGGGGAGC
This 247-nucleotide ribosomal RNA is filed under the name uncultured bacterium. RNAcentral describes it as "partial 16S ribosomal RNA". It matches the Rfam family "Bacterial small subunit ribosomal RNA", at positions 523 to 769 of the family's 1533-position model. The record is from RNAcentral.